UUCAGUUAUUUAUUUUGAAUCUGUAUGUAGUGUAGUGUUGUGAAUUAGUAAAGAAGAGUUUAUGCAUAUAUCAAGUUAAUUAUAUUACUAUCAUAUUUCAUAAAACUUUAAAGUGAAAAAACAUUCACAUUCUUUGAUGUGGUGACGUCCGUUUAAUUAUAUAUUAAUUGCAAGUUACUAACUUAUGUCGUGAAAUACUAUUGUCACUAUUGUAGCCUAGUGUGAUUUUGUAUUGUUGGAUUCAAAACUACCGGUAUUUGAGAAUCAACUAUUCUUUCCAUGAGAGCUGUCCUGAUGAAGAAAAUGGCGACCCAGCGCUAUUCUCAGCGAAAUUGUCUGACUGUGUUUAUUGCAUACAAAGACUUGGGUUGGUUGUGUCAGGACUCUGAUGAGAAGUGUCUCACUCUAUCCAAACAGAACUUCAUUGCGCAACUGAUGAGACAGUUUCAGCGUUUCAUUACAUCAAUCCUCAAUAUCUAGGUGGAAGCAAGUGAGGAGACACAAGCAAGAGCUCUGCUCCUUCUGCGCAGAGUUGUCAACAGUGAUGCCCAGUUCUAUUCUCAGUUUUUCUCGCGAGAACAAGAUGGUGUGCUAGCAUGCCAUCACCAUGCAAAUCGGGCCUCCAUAUUCUCAAGGUUAGACAUGUGUUUCUUCAUAAUUUAUUACUAGCAGACUUUCUGUGAACAUAGACUUGGCGCAGUUAUAAACCACAGCGUCCUCUAAUACUGUUCAUCAGAGUAAAUUCUAUCCUGUCUUGUGUCGGCGAGAUAUCUGUGCGAAAACGUUUACCGUAUUGUCUGAUUGGGUUGAAAAGUUUUAAAAAUUUGGUACUAUGGGAUAUGUUUUUUAAUAACCAAACAAGUAUCCCUAAUAGUCCAGUCAAUAUAGACAUAAGAAAGGGGUGUGCUUGCAAUUUAUAUUGUAGUUCUGAUUUUUUAAUAUAUUAUUAGGGUACAUAAGAGAAGUCCAGAACCAAUUUCUCCAUGCAAA
This 990-nucleotide long non-coding RNA is filed under the name Nilaparvata lugens (brown planthopper). RNAcentral's name for it is "uncharacterized LOC120355986, transcript variant X1". The record is from RNAcentral. Lineage: Eukaryota; Metazoa; Arthropoda; Insecta; Hemiptera; Delphacidae.